UUCUACACUCACUCAACUUUUUUUUAUUUGUUCAUUAGCAUCAGGUUUUGUAGGAGUUGACAUCAACCAGCAGGACAAAGAUAAAACCUGAAGACGAGGCUGCACAUUUGUCUCCUUGUGCAAAUUGUGGAUUUGAUGUGAAAUGCAUGAAUUCCUUUAAAGUCCAGCUGAUGUUUCUUCAUUGUUUGGAUUGUGUCACUUCAGCUGACUCACCUCAACUCCUUUAUAUAGAAGUCGACGCUUCCUGCAGACGAUGACCACAUGAGGACGAUGACCACAUGAACCAGACCGAAAAAUGAAAAGCAUCAAAGUUGAUGGAAAUCCCACGUUAGUGUGUGUUCAUCAGUCCUGAGGAAGAAAUCCCAUCACCAUGGAGAUGGAAGAAAUGGAAAUAAAUGAAUACAACAAAUAUCAGCUCACCAGCCACUUCCUCCUCAUCAGCUCAACUCCACUCACCUGUUCACAGCAGCUGCACCUGAUCACUAAUCAGCCCACUAUAUAAACUCCUCUCCAGCGUGCAGUCACUGCCAGAUUGUUCUACGUCACCAGUUCUAGUCUCUCCAGUGGUUCCCUGGUACCGACCCUGCCUGUCCCCGACCUGCCUGCUCUGUCUCUGCCCUGGACAAUGGAUUCUGCCUGACGUCUGCCUGCUCCCUGCCUGACGUCUGCCUGCUCCCUCCCUGACGUCUGCCUGCUCCCUGCCUGCCUCACGGUACGGACCUCAGCCAUUGAACUAUCGCUGACCCUUGUGUUAAAUAAACAUCAUUACCAACUGUC
Long non-coding RNA from Solea solea (common sole), 777 nucleotides. RefSeq lists it as uncharacterized. Lineage: Eukaryota; Metazoa; Chordata; Actinopteri; Pleuronectiformes; Soleidae. The transcript has 3 exons. The record is from RefSeq and is a predicted model, not a curated record.